Molecule: ribosomal RNA, 443 nt
Filed under: uncultured eukaryote
Lineage: Eukaryota
Description: bacterial SSU rRNA
Rfam family: Eukaryotic small subunit ribosomal RNA
Source: RNAcentral
CUCACCAGGUCAGGACACGGUAAGGAUUGACGGACUGAAGGCUCUUUCUCGAUUCCGUGGAAAGUGGUGCAUGGCCGUUUUUGGUUGGUGGAUCGAUCCGUCUGGUUAAUUCCGUUAACGAACGAGACCUCGGCACUCCGAAUAGCGCGGCGGACGUCGCGGCCUCCGGGCCGUCUUCCGCGCGAGCUUCUUAGAGGGACCGUCCCCCGCCGGGGAAGGAGGUGCGAGGCAACGACAGGUCUGUGAUGCCCUUAGAUGUUCUGGGCCGCACGCGCAUUACACUGACGCGUCCAACGGGUGACUCCCGACCCGAAGGGGCCGGGGAAUCCGCAAGGCGCGUCGUGAUGGGGAUUGAACGUUGCAAUUGUUGUUCACGAACGAGGAAUUCCUAGUAGGCGCGGGUUCAUCAACCCGCGCCGAUUACGUCCCUGCCCUUUGUACAC